This 416-nucleotide ribosomal RNA is filed under the name uncultured bacterium. Its description in RNAcentral is "bacterial SSU rRNA". It matches the Rfam family "Bacterial small subunit ribosomal RNA", at positions 355 to 786 of the family's 1533-position model. The record is from RNAcentral.
UCGGGAAUAUUGCGCAAUGGAGGAAACUCUGACGCAGUGACGCCGCGUGCAGGAAGAAGGUUUUCGGAUUGUAAACUGCUUUAGACAGGGAAGAAACAAGACAGUACCUGUAGAAUAAGCUCCGGCUAACUACGUGCCAGCAGCCGCGGUAAUACGUAGGGAGCAAGCGUUAUCCGGAUUUAUUGGGUGUAAAGGGUGCGUAGACGGGAAAUUAAGUUAGUUGUGAAAUCCCUCGGCUUAACUGAGGAACUGCAACUAAAACUGAUUUUCUUGAGUGUUGGAGAGGAAAGUGGAAUUCCUAGUGUAGCGGUGAAAUGCGUAGAUAUUAGGAGGAACACCAGUGGCGAAGGCGACUUUCUGGACAAUAACUGACGUUGAGGCACGAAAGUGUGGGGGAGCAAACAGGAUUAGAUACC